UGAAAUACGGAGACGUCCAUCGGUUGCA
RNAcentral lists this small RNA (28 nucleotides) under Bombyx mori (domestic silkworm). RNAcentral describes it as "ovarian small RNA-30541". The record is from RNAcentral. Lineage: Eukaryota; Metazoa; Arthropoda; Insecta; Lepidoptera; Bombycidae.